This 806-nucleotide ribosomal RNA is filed under the name uncultured eukaryote. Its description in RNAcentral is "SSU rRNA". It matches the Rfam family "Eukaryotic small subunit ribosomal RNA", at positions 71 to 892 of the family's 1831-position model. The record is from RNAcentral.
GUGUUAUACAGCGAAACUGCGAAUGGCUCAUUAAAACAGUUAUAGUUUAUUUGAUAAUCGAAUUUACAUGGAUAACCGUGGUAAUUCUAGAGCUAAUACAUGCUGGUAUGCCCGACUUUUGCGGAAGGGCGGUAUUUAUUAGAUAACAAGCCAAUAUUCCUCUGGUCUAUUGUGGUGACUCAUAAUAACUGAUCGAAUCGCAAGGCCUUUGGCCGCGAUAAAUCAUUCAAGUUUCUGCCCCAUCAGCUUUCGAUGGUAGUGUAUUGGACUACCAUGGCGUUUACGGGUAACGGAGGAUUAGGGUUCGAUUCCGGAGAGGGAGCCUGAGAAACGGCUACCACAUCUAAGGAAGGCAGCAGGCGCGUAAAUUACCCAAUCCUGACUCAGGGAGGUAGUGACAAGAAAUAACGGACCGGUUCCUUCGGAUUCGGGAUUGCAAUGAGCCGAAUUUACACCCCUUAGCGAGGAUCGAUUGGAGGGCAAGUCUGGUGCCAGCAGCCGCGGUAAUUCCAGCUCCAAUAGCGUAUAUUAAAGUUGUUGCAGUUAAAAAGCUCGUAGUUGGAUUUCUGGGAGGGUGCCAAUGUCCGUCGUCGUACGUGUUGCAGCGGCGCCCUUCCAUCCUUCUGUUAACGACUUUGGGCAUUCACUUGCCGGAGUCGGGCUCAGAUAUUUUACCUUGAGAAAAUUAGAGUGUUUCAGGCAGGCUAGGCCGGAAUACAUUAGCAUGGAAUAAUGGAAUAGGACUACGGUCUCUUUGUUGGUUUGAGGGACUGCAGUAAUGAUUAAUAGGGAUAGUUGGGGGCAUU